This 253-nucleotide ribosomal RNA is filed under the name uncultured bacterium. Its description in RNAcentral is "partial 16S ribosomal RNA". It matches the Rfam family "Bacterial small subunit ribosomal RNA", at positions 524 to 776 of the family's 1533-position model. The record is from RNAcentral.
GACAGAGGGUGCAAACGUUGUUCGGAAUUACUGGGCGUAAAGGGCUCGUAGGCGGCCAACUAAGUCAUACGUGAAAUCCCUCAGCUUAACUGGGGAACUGCGUGUGAUACUGGAUGGCUUGGAUUUGGGAGAGGGAUGUGGAAUUCCAGGUGUAGCGGUGAAAUGCGUAGAUAUCUGGAGGAACACCGGUGGCGAAGGCGGCAUCCUGGACCGAGAUUGACGCUGAUGCGCGAAAGCCAGGGGAGCAAACGGG